AUGACUUUGCUGAACACUCUGGAGCUAGUGUGGCUGGGGCUUCUCCUUGGCUGUUUCUGUAAGGUUGCAGACAGCAAGGACCAAGUAUCUCAGCCUUCUACUAUGGUAUCUUCAGAGGGAGCUGUGGUGGAAAUCUCCUGCAAUCACUCUAUAUCCAAUGCUUACAACUUCUUCUGGUACCUUCAUUUCCCAGGACAUGCACUGAAACUCCUUAUUAAGGGCACAAGGUCUUCUCAACAGGGACGCUAUAACAUGACCUAUGAACGAUUCUCUUCAUCACUGCUCAUCUCUGAGGUGCAGGUGGCAGAUGCUGCUACUUAUUACUGUGCUUUGGAAGACACAGAGGCAGGGAACCUGUGCAGAGUCUAG
Suncus etruscus (white-toothed pygmy shrew) is the source of this 369-nucleotide non-coding RNA. The record is from the annotation of a RefSeq genome assembly. NCBI's taxonomy places the organism in Eukaryota, Metazoa, Chordata, Mammalia, Eulipotyphla, Soricidae.